RNAcentral lists this long non-coding RNA (2260 nucleotides) under Homo sapiens (human). RNAcentral's name for it is "non-protein coding PRKCZ-AS1:6". Lineage: Eukaryota; Metazoa; Chordata; Mammalia; Primates; Hominidae. The record is from RNAcentral.
GAUGCGCCUGUGCCGGGGAGGGCAGAACGCUGGUGCCUGGCACAGGUGCCACAACACAUACGGGUGAGGACACUGAAAACCCCUCAGUUCCCCCGACUCAUGGCCACUUGUCCCAGUGACACAGCCAUGCUCUCCCACUCACCCACAAUAGGGUCUGAAUGUGCCCCCCAGAUUCACAGUGAGAAACUCAUUCCCCAGAGCAACAGUGUAGAGAGGUGGAACCUGAUGGGAGCCCCGCCCUCACAGACAAACUCCUGUAGCUGUCAAGACAGCUUGGGCAUGGAUUCCUCUCUGCCUUCUGCCAUGUGGACACGUGGCCUUCCUCCCCUCUCUCCUCCGGGGAAUGCAGUGUUUGGGCGCCAUCUUGGAAGCAGAGAUCAGGCCUCACCAGACACCAAGCCUGCUGGCACCAUGACCCUGGACUCCCAACCUCCACAGCUGGGAAAGAACUCUGCUCCCUAGAAAUUACCCAGGCUCGCUCAGGUAUUCUGUUACAGCAGCACCAAGAGACAUUCACUCGCUUACUCCCUCACUCUCUAACCCACUCCCAUUCACCCUCUCACUCCCUCUCUAACCCACUCCCAUUCACCCUCUCACUCCCUCGCUAACCCACUCCCAUUCACUCAUUCACUCACUCACUCUCUAGCCCACUUUUUUUUUGAGAUGGAGUCUUGCUCUGUUGCCCAGGCUGGAGUGCAGUGGCGCGAUCUCGGCUCACUGCAACCUCUGACUCCGAUUCAAGCUAUUCUCCUGCCUCAGUCUCCUGAGUAGCCGGGACUACAGGCAUGCACCACCAUGCCCAGCUAAUUUUGUUUUUUGUUUUUGUUUUGAGACUCGCUCUGUCUCCCAGGCUGAAGUGCAGUGGCACGAUCUCGGCUCACUGCAAGCUCCACCUCCCAGGUUCACACCAUUCUCCCGCCUCAGCCUUCUGAGUAGCUGGGAGUACAGGCGCCCGCCACCACGCCUGGCUAAUUUUGUUUUUGUAUUUUUAGUAGAGGCAGGGUUUCACCAUGUUGACCAGGCUGCUCCCGAACUGCUGACCUCAGAUCAUCUGCCCUCCUCGGCCUCCCAAAGUGCUGGGAUUACAGGCGUGAGCCACCGCGCCCGGCCCUCUUUAGCCCACUCAUUCACUCACUCCCUCGCUCUCUAACCCACUCCUGCUCACUCACUCAUUCACUGGCUCACUCACUCUCUAACCCACUCUCUCUCAUUCCCUUGCUCGUUCUCUAGCCCACCCUCGCACACUCAUUCACUGGCCCGCCCCUUAGGUGUGUGCUCCUGUACCAACACUGAAAUCCAGCUGUCACAACAGGCACCCACUGACUCCAGCCUCAUGGAACCACCAUUCACCAGGCUUGAGGGGAGGAUGUCACGGCGCGCUGCUCCCUUCGGUGCCAGCCAGGAUGGGGCCGGGUGGGUGCAGCUGGUGAAAAGAAAUGCAGCCCCCCAGCCCCUGCAGACCAAGCCGAACAGCCCAGCUCGCGGGUGGAUCACAGGGCACCCAGCAGCCGCCUUCCCUCCGGAAGAGCCAAGAAGGCUUCCAAGACCAGAAAUGCCCCCAGUGUGGCUGUGCCUGUCCCCGGUGCCCCGCCAGCUGGGGGGCAGCAUACCCAAACAGAUGCACCCUGCCCAUGAUGGCACCCCAGGGACCCCCAUCCUCAGGACCCUCCAGUCGUUCAAGCUGGAAUUGGCAGGUUUCUGCCUGUAUAGGCAUCGGCUUCAGAGUCUCAGGUGCUGCUUGGCAGGAAAAUGCAGGGCAGGAGGGGCUGGGCCUCAGCUCGAGGCUCCCAGGUGCAGCCCCCCACUCCACUGCAGGGCCCAGGGGGGCCAAGAACAGCCACAACAACAACAAAAGCCAAACUGGGAACGGAAUCGUGGAAAAAACCCUCAUAGGCUUUUGGGAACUUACAAAGAAAUGCCCACAUCCAUUCUACUAACAUGGCAUCUACUAACGUGGCAUCUACUAGGAUGCCACAAAACAGACAAAUCCUUCCACGUAAGGCUGGACACGUGUCAGGGCGGUGUCUCAAAGCUGGGCCACAGGCAGCAUCCACGGCCAGGCCACUGGGUGGAGGAGACGGUGCUGGGGAGGAGCCGGAGGGAGGGGCCGGGGCUGUUCCCUUAGGCAGAACGGCUCACCUGUGGUGUGCGCACAGCAGGAUUGUGGGGACACAAGAUGCCCCCUUCAUUCAUCAGUUACUUGUAUUCUUUGUAUGAAACACCUGCCGAUAAAAUGUGAAAAAGGGGCAUUUCCUAAAGU